AGAGUUUGAUCCUGGCUCAGGAUGAACGCUAGCGACAGGCCUAACACAUGCAAGUCGAGGGGCAACGGGGCGUAGCAAUACGCUGCCGGCGACCGGCGGAUGGGUGAGUAACGCGUAUGCAACCUGCCUUCAGCAGGGGGAUAGCCCGUUGAAAGACGGAUUAAUACCCCAUAACACAGGGGCUCCGCAUGGAGAUUAUUGUUAAAGGGAUACUUCCUUCGGGGGGUAUUCCGGCUGAAGAUGGGCAUGCGUUCCAUUAGGUAGUUGGUUGAGGUAACGGCUCACCAAGCCUACGAUGGAUAGGGGAACUGAGAGGUUGGUCCCCCACACUGGUACUGAGACACGGACCAGACUCCUACGGGAGGCAGCAGUGAGGAAUUUUGGUCAAUGGACGCAAGUCUGAACCAGCCAUGUCGCGUGAAGGAGGACGGCCCUAAGGGUUGUAAACUUCUUUUGCAGUGGAAUAAAGUUUGCCACGUGUUGGCGAUUUGCAAGUACGCUGCGAAUAAGGAUCGGCUAACUCCGUGCCAGCCGCCGCGGUAAUAC
Molecule: ribosomal RNA, 546 nt
Filed under: uncultured Bacteroidota bacterium
Lineage: Bacteria; Pseudomonadati; Bacteroidota
Description: bacterial SSU rRNA
Rfam family: Bacterial small subunit ribosomal RNA
Source: RNAcentral